GGCAAUCACCACCCAACCAAAUUACCGGAGACCCGUGUGCGAACGUGAGAAGCAGAGAAGAGAGGAGGCCGAAUCUACCGAUGCCUCCGAUGAAUGAAGAAACGGGGUCGCGGUCGGAAGCUUCGAGAGGACCACCAGAAUUGAAAAGAGGCAACGCAAAGGGCCAGAAUCCACACAGCCCAGAACCGGAAAGACCCAAUGCACACGGCCGAAAGUCACACUGACAAGGAUGCGAGGAGGACGACGCAAGUCUAGGUGCGAAAAAAAUUCACAGCUCUAAUACCAUAUCAAAGAAACCUCGAAUAAUUUCUGAAAAAUUCUCUGUCCUUUUUGUGGUGCGCUAUUGUACAUAUAUACACAAUCUUAUAAUAUACAAGGAAAUAAAUAAAUCGCAAUCUCCAAAAAUAGUGUAUCUAAUCUAUUCCAAAUAUAACCCAAAUAUAUACGGUAACAU
RNAcentral lists this long non-coding RNA (454 nucleotides) under Olea europaea (common olive). RNAcentral describes it as "long non-coding RNA (OEUR_LNC004595)". Lineage: Eukaryota; Viridiplantae; Streptophyta; Magnoliopsida; Lamiales; Oleaceae. The record is from RNAcentral.